This 5563-nucleotide long non-coding RNA is filed under the name Podarcis lilfordi (Lilford's wall lizard). Lineage: Eukaryota; Metazoa; Chordata; Lepidosauria; Squamata; Lacertidae. The record is from RNAcentral.
AGAUUUAUUCCCAGGCGUCUCCAGCCAGGGUUGAGAGAGUCUCUGCCUGAAACCUGAUAGAGCUGCUGGCAAUCAAAUGUGGACAAUACUGAGCUACGUGGACCAGGGGUCUCACUUGGUAUGAGGCAGCUUCCUAUGUUCUCAUGGAUUUGAUUAAACAUGAUUUUCUAGAUGAGAUGGAUUUUAAUAUCCCAACAUUUAUAGAGACAUACCAUACUUUUCCGUCUAUAAGACACUCCCAUGGAUAAUUUUGGGGACUCAAUAUUAAGAAAAUGGGGGGAGAUAGUACAGAAUGAGAGGAAUGCCGUAAAAAAGCUCACACAAAUUCCAAACAUUUGAGAUUGAACGCAACACAGAAGCCUCCUAUUGCAUUUGCAAUCAACACCAGCCGCCGCCGAUCACACGCCCAAUUGCUGCAGCAGAGCCCAAUCACCAGCAGACAUUGUCGCAGCAAUGCUUAAUCACAAGCGGAUAUUGUCACAACAGCCGAUCAUCCGUAAUAACGCCAGUGACAAUCUACUACUCAAGACAGAAAUCAUUUCCACCGUUCCCCCUCUGCACUACCCAUGUAUAAGACUACGCCAAUUUUUAAGUGUUGUUUAAGGUAAAAAAAAUCGUCUUAUACUCGGAAAAGUACGGUACAUUCCGCUCCUUUUAGGAGAGCUUGUAUGAAGCUUAGGUUUCAGCCUAUGUCUCCCAUGGCCUAUCAUUUCUGGAUUUGUGGCAAAAGCCAAGCAGAAGAUACUGUGUACUGUGUGUUGCAGUGUCACUCUUAUAAUAGGCCAGAAGAGAGUACAGCCAUUCCCCCACUUACAGGGGGAUUACCUUGCAGGCGCCCAUGCACAUGACUCUCCAGCUCUCUCCUGCCAUUUCCAGGUUUGAAUCAAAUUAUUUACUUACUUCCUGGCACUGCACAUAUACACAGUCACGUGAGAUUUGUUCAUGAAUAAGUUGAGGGAUACAGUGGUACCUCGGGUUACAGACGCUUCAGGUUACAGACUCCGCUAACCCAGAAAUAGUACCUCAGGUUAAGAACUUUGCUUCAGGAUGAGAACAGAAAUCAUGUAGCGGCAGCACAGCAGCAGCAGGAGGCCCCAUUAGCUAAAGUGGUGCUUCAGGUUAAGAACAGUUUCAGGUUAAGAACAGACCUCCAGAACGAAUUAAGUUCUUAACCUGAGGUACCACUGUACUUGCAUACAUGGACUGUUCCACCCCAAUAUUACGGGGGAAAGCCUAUGAGAGAAAAGCUUUGUUUACUACAUAUAGAGCGUUCCUUUUUGAGGUGACCACAAAUAACAUUUGGGUAAAUGUUUUAAAUGAGGUGGUUGUUAACUGUAUAUGUGAUUUCUGGUCUAAUGAUGUAUUGUAUCGUAUUUAAUCAACUUUUCUGCCACUAGGCAGGAUCAGUUUGAUCCACAGCUAAAUACAAUUAGUGACUUGAAUUUUUACCCAGAAUUCCCUACUUUAGGGGCAGAAUUUGGUGCAGGUAGACAGACUGAAUGUUUUAUAUUAGAACAUAUGGUCAGCUCAGACACCGUAACAACUUCAGCAAAUCCCAAUAUUUUGCCCCUCCACACUUGUACAGUCUCCCUUUUGUGUUCCCAUCUAUGGAAAUAUGACUACUAGUUUUAGUGCUGUGAAAUGAAUGUCAGAUGUUAGGAUCUGGAAAUAAAAGGAUAAUUUGAAUAUUUCUUCUUAUGAUUAUUAAAAAUGUAAGACACUCUAAAGUACUAAAAUAAUUCUUCAUUGUGUCUCUAGAGAAAUUUGGCUAACAACUGUUCUUAUUUGAUACGCUGGCAUAUGUCUUGAAAGACGGAGACAAAGAGAAAAUCUGUCAAAAGUGUUGAAAAAAAAUGAGAGCUAAAGUAUAAUAGAAGUUCAGAUUCAGAUAUUGACUUUUUUUGAAUUACUCAGUUCAAAGCAAACAUGACAUGUUUGGUAAGAGAAUAAUAUUGACAGGCUACCAUUGUGGAUCAGUGAAACAAAGAAUUUGCACUUGAACGAAAGCUGCCUUUCACAGUGUUUGAUCAAAUACAACACUGAGUUGAGUGUCUGCUCCUCUACAAACCAGAAAUGUCCAAAUAUUUAAACACUGUGAUGACAGUUUAUCUGUCAUUCAUGGCAUUCAACCACCUCUGGAUAGUUAGAGCUCCAGCUUUGGGGAGCUCCAGAAUUGGUAUAAGAAUGCACUCCUGCAGAUGGAACAACGCACCACAAAUGCAGCUGCAGCAGAUUGCAUUUCCACUUGCUGUGGGAACCAUAGGCCUGCCCUAUCCCCUUUGUUAACUUAAUGGAUUCUCUAAUGUGUUACUUCCUGUAUCCUGAUUCAUUACUCUGAAAUAAAGGGCGGGGGCAAGACUUCCAGUUCAUAGGGUCCACUUGCCUGGGCAUUUUUGCUCUGAAGGCAGGAAGUGGGUAUUAACGGGUUGUGAUACUGAUGAAAGAGCUGGUGGAAGAUGCUCCUUUGGGCAAAGUGGGGCAUAGGGGUGGGGGUAAGUACGGUGUGGGCGUUUCUAUGCUUUUGCUUGCUGAAAUCCUUGAUCUCUCUCUUCCUACCUUUCCCCUCCCUGAAGGCCCUGUUCCCUCUUUCUUUCUUUCUUUCUUUCUUUCUUUCUUUGGAUGUGAAGUGUGUAUGAGGGUCCUGUGCUAGGUACCUGCAUAUUAUACACACAGUGUCUAUCUGCUAAAAUAUGUAUUCCUGGAAAAGAAUUAGCAUGAAGUAUAAUCUUAAUGAUGUUUUAAAUUGUAUAUUGUGUUUUGAUUUUAAUUUACAGUUUUGACUGCUUUGCUUUGUUUUGGGAGACACACAGAGAACUCUUGUUUUUGGAGAUGAUAUAAAUGCAGUUAAAUUAACCCCACUUACAUGGGAGUAAGCUCCAUUAAAUUCAAUAGGACUUAUUUCAGAGUAGACAUUGCUAGGAUUGAGACCUAAGGUUGUGGCUAAGCCCAAUAUAAUUGGCUUGCUCAAUUCCCAUGAUCAGCUAUUCUCUGUUAAAUUUAAUUAAAACAGGUGAGCCUGAUUUCGUUUCAUUUAAGUAAAGUUCUUAGAUCCAUGCAUGGAUCUAACACAGUCACACUUACAAGACUGAUCCUACCAUCUGCAGCAGGAGAAAACAAGGUUGUUCGAUCUGACAUGAAUCAGAUCCCACACUUCAGAGUAUUAGCAGGUUAAAGCCUGUUGGCCAGAUUGACAACCCACAUCUCUAAAUUACAGCAACCUAAUUUGAAUGUGCUUGCCUAAGACUAAAGAGAUUUAUAGGACAAAUAUAUUUAAAAAUGGGUGCAUGGAUCCAGUUUUACAAUCUCUGCAAAAUGACAUUGUUUAUAAGUUUUCCAGAAAUACUUGAGCCAAAUAUGUGGAGACCAAACUCUUGGCAGUUAACAAAUAUGAAAUACUUCAAGAUAAAAGACAUGGGAAAUUUGUGUCCUUUCAGUUUUGUAGGUCUAACAUACACAGUAAACAUUAGUAAGUCUAAUUAAAAGCUGUAAAAAUGUCUUCUCUAAUAAUCUGUCUUGUGAUUUGCAAGUAUCAAAUACAAGGAAGAAGAUAAAUAAAAUUUACUCUUUGGCCUCCCUUUGGAGCACAGAGGUGUUGUGUGUGGAAUAUUUCAGUAUGCAACUCCAACAGGCCUCAUUAGCUUGCCAUCUGCCACGGUGCAUAGAUGCUAAAAUGUUGUUAUUGCAAGGUUCAUUGAGCAGUAAAAUUAUAAUAUUUUUGUAAAAAAAACAUUUUAAGUAAAAAAAUCCCUUGAAAGAGACAAGGUGCCAAAUUAUGAUUGAGGCUGUGAUCUCAUUAAAAAAAGGAAGAAUGAAAGAUGCCACAGAAUAAAAACUUCUAUAUCUCUACCUUUCUCACUACUGCUUGUAUCCAUAUAUCUAUCUCUCCGUCAGUUGGACUAUCCUUAGGACUAAAUUACAGAAGCUUGCAAUUUGGAUGAUAAAGAGUUGUCACACCAAAAGACAGAUUGUACAAAUUAACUUUGUCCUGAUUCUGCGUGCAGCACAAUUUUGGCAUCCCAAGUCCUAGCUGUUGGUUCUUCUUCUUCCUGACUUAGUCACAUGGGUGAGCUUACUCAGGGGGUGAAUGGGGUACUAUCGCGGUGCCUUGUACUGCUUUUCUAGUCUCUGUUUUUUUUAAAGUGACAUACUAUUAGGGAUGAAAAGGUAACCUUUGCAUUAAGGUACAUUGUCUCCAUGAGCCAGAAUUCUAAUGAUGCCCAGGAAAAUAUGCUUUAUCCUAGUUAUUUCUGCUCAGGACUCUUUUUACUCGUUUGUGGGGUAUAAAUGAUUGGAGCUGUCAAAAAAAGUUGUUGUGCAGUUUCAUUAAGGAAACUUUUUCUCAGCUAUUUCUAUUCAUCAUCAGUCCUAGGAAAUUCUGUACAAAGAAAGGAAAAUUAAUAGCUGCAGGAAGUCUUGUUAGUUGGACAGUUAUCUGUAACUGUGAAAAAGAUAGCUUUAGAAAUAUUUCUCUUUCUAUUUAUAAAAAGCAGCUACAGAGGCCUCGGGCUAAAUAUAAACAACAUUUAUUACUUACAUUCCAUAUCUGUAUAAAGGUAUACAGUGCUAUUUUUCUAGAAAAAUAGGUAACGCCUCCCUUGUUCUCUUAUAAUGGCAAGGGCGCCCACCUGAGAGGUGCUGAAACUGAGUUCCAGUGAGUUCCGGCUGAAAAAAUCCCUGAAGGUAUACAGUUGCAAUAGAAAUUAUUCAACACCCAUUGCAAAUCAGGUUUAUUAUCAAAAUUUAAAGACUUUCAGCUGUUUGCAACGGGCAAAUCAAACAAAAGCAAUUGAAAUAGCUCAACACAAUGGAUGCUUCAAGUGGUUUCCCUAAAUUCAGCUGAAAUUGCAACCUAUACUGGCUUCUCCAGUCUUAUCACCCUUCACAAACAAGGAACAGGAUACAAAAAGAUAGUGAAGGCACUGAAAGUUCCUAGGGACACCGUAGGAAGCAGAGUUCGCAAAUUCAAAGUUACAGGAACAGUGGUUACACUACCUGGACCAUUGCACAGGAUCAUCAUAAUGCAGAGUCCUUCCAGAAGGGGCCUGGGGUGGAGAAGGGGGGCCCUGGCACACCCUAAGCUCAGGUUGUGGCACCUGCAUGGCUGGAAUCUCUGACCCCAGACACCCAGUGAGACCCUGGAGACUUGGCUUCCUCCACACCAGGGCCAAAUGUUGGGUAAUUCUCAUGGAGAAGGUUGGGGUGUUUCCUAAUACUGAUGGAGGGCCAUUUUAUCAGCAAGGAUUGUUUGAAUGUGUAGCAGGAUCCUUGCCCUACUGCCAUGCCAACCCUGCUUUCUACUGUUAUUGAAUAAAUAUUUGACCCAAUUCCUCCCUCCCACCAGCUCUGUGUCCUACCUAGUUAUUUCACUGUUGUCACAGAGCCCCAAACUGUCCCUGACAGGACAAUUAUAUUAUGCCUAGAGUACCUAAAGCUGCUUAGGGUGCAUAAUUGAUUUACCAAGGUACAUAGGCUAGAACUAGACAUUAGGGCACAUUAUUAUUAGUAGUAAUAGUAGUAGUGGUAUACCACCUUCAUCUGAAGUUCACAGGGCGGUUCACAAUAU